This 419-nucleotide ribosomal RNA is filed under the name Chloroflexota bacterium. RNAcentral's name for it is "Chloroflexi bacterium partial 16S ribosomal RNA". It matches the Rfam family "Bacterial small subunit ribosomal RNA", at positions 355 to 776 of the family's 1533-position model. The record is from RNAcentral. Lineage: Bacteria; Bacillati; Chloroflexota.
UGGGGGAUAUUGCACAAUGGGCGCAAGCCUGAUGCAGCGACGCCGCGUGGGGGAUGAUGGCCUUCGGGUUGUAAACUUCUUUUGCUCUGAACAAGGCGCACUUUGGGGUGUGUUGAGUGUAGGGGUUGAUUAGCGCCGGCUAACUACGUGCCAGCAGCCGCGGUAAUACGUAGGGCGCGAGCGUUGUCCGGAAUUAUUGGGCGUAAAGGGCUUGUAGGUGGCUGGUUGCGUCUGUCGUGAAAGCUCAUGGCUUAACUGUGGGUUUGCGGUGGGUACGGGCUGGCUUGAGUGCAGUAGGGGAGGCUGGAAUUCCUGGUGUAGCGGUGGAAUGCGCAGAUAUCAGGAGGAAUACCGGUGGCGAAGGCGGGUCUCUGGGCUGUUACUGACACUGAGGAGCGAAAGCAUGGGGAGCGAACAGG